Molecule: ribosomal RNA, 497 nt
Filed under: uncultured bacterium
Lineage: Bacteria
Description: partial 16S ribosomal RNA
Rfam family: Bacterial small subunit ribosomal RNA
Source: RNAcentral
GAUGAACGCUGGCGGCAUGCCUAACACAUGCAAGUCGAGCGAACGGACGAGAAGCUUGCUUCUCUGAUGUUAGCGGCGGACGGGUGCGUGACACGUAGAUACCCUACCUAUAAGACUGAGAUAACUUCGCGACACCGGAUCUAAUACCAGAUAAUAUUUUGAUCCGCAUGGUUCAAAAGUGAGAGACAGUCUUGCUGUGACUUAUACAUGGAUUCGCGCUGCAUUAGCUAGAUGGUCAUGUAACGGCUUACCAAGGUAACGAUGCAUAGCCGACCUGAGGGGGUGAUCUGCCACACUGGAACUGAGACACGGUCCCGAGUGCUACGGGAGGCAGCAGUAGGGAAUCUUCCGCAAUGGGCGAGAGCAUGACGGAGCAACGCCGCGUGAGUGAUGAAGGUCUUCGGAUCGUGAAACUCUGUUAUUAGGGAAGAAAAUCAGUGUAAGUAACUGUGCACAUCUUGACGGUACCUAAUGAGAAAGCGACGGCUAACUACGUG